CAAGGCUGUGAUAGCGGGUAUUUGUACUUCAACCUCCAUUAAAUUCAACAAAUUUCCAUAUCUUUUCUGAAAGGCUUCUCUUUUUAUGGUCUUGAGCUUUUUGCCCAAGUUUAUCAGUCCGGCCAAAUUUCCAACAUGGGUCCUUAGACUAUACUUCUUUUUUAAAUCGGAAGAGUCAGUGCGUCGUGUGACAUCGGAUCUUGUGUCAACAUCCAUCUUGUAUGAAAUCAAAUAGGUACCUGUGAUUUCCCCUAAAAAUCAACAUGUUACUAAAUGAUGUAUGAAAAUGAUGCAUGAUAAUAAAACAACAUGACGAAACAAAACACAUGUAUGGUAUGAAAUGCAAUAUCAUUAUUUUCAAAAACNAAAACGANCAGCGUGAGGAUUAUAGAAGUACACAUUUCUCCCAUCGUGUCCUAACAAAGGUUCACCGUUUUGAGUUCAAGGUCAUAUAUAUGCACUUUCACCAGGAUGGUUUCCUAAACCUAAAGGUCAAAAAGUCACUAGAGCUAUGGCCUCCUUCAUAGCAUCUCCACAACAGUCGAGUAAUCAACUAGGUGUGGAAACACACAUGAAGAGAACAGACUCUAGCUGGAGUUCUCACGAUAGCCAAACAGGAAGUACAUCCCAGAGUGACACCGCUACACAACUCCUCUAAUUCUAAGUUACGCUCAGACCCGGGUAUAGGGCCCCACUCAUGAUAUGCUGAAAGUGUGUGUGAAGGGAGAACAUCAUGCACAUCCAAACCCUCACCUGCAAAACAGCCAGAAAAAUUCCCAGGCAGAUAUAAACAUAUCAUCUAUCCUAGGGUUCAAUAUCCAACAAGCACAAUUAUUCACACGCGAUAAUUCAAAUAUCAAACAUAGAUAACGAAAAAAAAGGAAGAAAAAAACAUAAGCAACACCACAUUGAAAUUCGCGCAUUUAAUUAAAUGGCU
Molecule: long non-coding RNA, 937 nt
Filed under: Vigna radiata
Lineage: Eukaryota; Viridiplantae; Streptophyta; Magnoliopsida; Fabales; Fabaceae
Description: long non-coding RNA (VRAD_LNC006203)
Source: RNAcentral